GACUGGCUUUGUACAUUAGGACAUUUCUCUUUUAAGCAAACUUCCAUUUAAAUUGCAUUUGCUCUUUCCUUUGUUUUCUGCAGCCGGAUCGUGGUAAUCAGCACACAGAGCCAAAAUGAGAAGAGACACUUUGACUGGAGUCAACCUUCCAACUACCAGAAUUGCUCCUUCUGUCACUCGUUUUCUAACGGGCAAUCACUCAGCUGAGACAUUUAAUUAGCCCUAAACAGGGAGCCAGAACGAUCAACAACCAGAAACAAUUCAAAUGCAGUUGCUUUGAGUGGAACAUUGGAAAGAGAAUGAGUUGAAGUCGGUCUGCAUAGACGUAAAUGCUGGAUUUAUUUUGCUUUUUCUUUCUAAAUGUGGGAUUCCUUUUCACCAAAGUGAUAACAUCAGCAUUUGACAAAGGGAUGUUCUUUCAUUCAUUUCAUACUUUGAUUCCCUCAUGUACGUGUUUGGAAAACUCAUAAUCUGCUCUAAACUACCUGGAAUGCAUCUUGCACAUUCAGGAAAUACGUUUUAAACCUUUUUCUUCUUCAAUAAGUUAGAACCAAAACUUCACAAUUCAUCCCUCAAACUUUAUCCGUGGCUCCCACGAACCCCUCCCACCGUCAGCUAUUCGACCAAUCAUGGGCAAGCCUCUGAGCCGUCCUGGAUGCUUCAGGAGAAGCUCCUGCUGCCUAGAGAAGCACCGUGCUGGAGAUGGGGGACUGGGAGGCCAGGAGGGGGGCGUGGAGGGAGGAUAUGGAGAUGGCUAUGUCCCCCAACGAUCAAUUUAUGAUACCAUGUGCAUCAACCAACAGAUCGACAACCACCAUCACUCAGGAGGGUCAAUAAGACGUGAUUUUGGAGAAGGGAGUUGUGGUUACCCUGGCAGUGGCUCUCUAAGAGUAGGCAGGCCUCCUCCUGACAUCUUUGAUCCACAACCCCGUUCUUUAACGCCAAACCCCUCCUUCGUGCGACGUCUGGAUGAAAGAGCCAUCUACGAUUCAUUGAAACUUGCAGGUCAGGAUGUGGAUGGUGUUGGCUGUCAUUCUCCAGGACAUUAUAACCGAUCCGUUUCACCUGCUGUGUCUUCAUUCUCAGCACCCGGGAUAUCUUCCUCUUCAUCAAAGAAAUAUCACCAUCACCAUCAUCACCAUGGAGACAGCACAAAGAGCAGAGAUGGCCGGCAAUCCUGGAAGGUCCUGACGCCUCCAAAACACCUAGAAUGUGUUGAUCUUACCACAUCUGAGCUGAUAGAUAGAGGAGGAGUAUAUCUGAACCCUGGCCACUACAUUAUGCCUGGGGGUCAAUCCUCUUCUAUAGCCUCUCCACUUAUAUCGCCUUUUUCUGGCUCCCCUCUCUCAUCAGGAUACCACACCCCGGUCUUUUUCUCCCCAGCUAAACCUCGACCAAGUCAGACUCAGAGUUUACGUUGUUCUCCUCCUCAUGUCAUACAGCAAAGGCAUUACUCCCAAACCCAGAGCCUCAGGCUUUCCCCACCACAAGAGCUGAGACAUUCACCCUACCGCUCGCCGUUGGUCCAGCUGUCUGUCAAUGACCUUGAGCAAGACCUCAGGGAACGGGGAGGAGGAUGGGUUCGAAAUGAGCGUGAAAGGGAGUGGGAGAGGGAGAGGGAACGUGAGCUGGAACGAGGGUGGGCUCAGCGGGAGUGGGAACGGGAGCGGGAAAGAGGAAGAUUGGAGAGGGAGAGAGCAAGAGAGAGAGAGAGGAUGGAUACAUCAGGUUUAGGUACCUUUGGGUAUGGGCGAGGAGUUCCUAUGCGCUCAGAGAGAGACUCUGUGUUUUUGGAUCCAGACCAGGGUUUAGACACAACACCACUGUUGCUCCCACAACCUUCACCUUCACCUUCGCCAAGUGGAGCUCCUAGAAUGGGCACUGGUGCUGUGGGUAGGAACAGAGCAGGGUCAAAGGUAGGCCCUGAAAACAUUAGUGGGGGAAUGAUUUCAAAAUAUGACAAUGGCAAUAUGGUGUUUAUUGACAAUAAAUCUGGGUGUGUCUCUAGGGUAGUAAGUGAUAUUGGGGGUGGAAACAUGUCCGAAGCAGAAGUCAGAGCUGGAAUGCAUCAGAACCAUAGAGCUGACAGCUGGACCAAACAUGACAAUGUAUCCAGAACGAGCAUUAAAAAUAUGCCUGAAAGAAGAAUGGGAUCUCAGGUGAAAACCAGACCAGGGGGGCGCGAUAUGGAGGGAAAAGUGCAGUCUGGAGUAGAAAUGAAAGAUGUUUUUGAAAACAGAGACGGACAUAAAGGAUCGACAAAAAGUGGAGAAAGAAACACAAGGUGUGUCUCAAAACAUGAAUCAUUGGCAGAGGCUUUGCCUUUAAAUGAUGAUAACAGGGUGGGGUCAGGACAAACAGUUGGUACUCAAAGUCUGUCCUUAGUUGGAAUGAAAACAGAUCAUGGGACACAAAUGGACCCAAAAUUGAACUCACCACAGGUUGACAACAAAACCCAAACUGAAGUUGAAGUCGCACCUAAAGCUAAAACUGACCUUUGCCCGUCAACAGAGCCCCCUCGAGUUGAGGUUAAAAGUGAAAAAGAUGUCGAGACUGUUUCUAAACCCGAGGCAGAUCUCCAAACCAAGACUGAAAGUGAAAUUGAGAAUAAGACCAUCAGUGAAUCUGUUAUAGAUGCCAAAAAGAGCAAUAACGCCCAUGAUUGUGCUCAAAUAUGUAUUUCAGCUAUUGAGAAGGCUGGCAUUGCUACUGAAGAUCAAGUUGAGGAAAUUCCUUUGGAUGCUAAUAAAAUCCAAUCUGGGAAUGUGGAGAAAAGUUCAAGAUCCAAAAAGUCCAAAUCAUCUAAGUCCAGCUCCAGGAAUCGACCAGGUACGGCCACGGGACUGCGAUCAGGAGUACUAAGUCCUCGACCAAUCAGAGGCCUUAGAGAUCUAGAAUUAACAAACCCAGCAGAAGGUAUUGAGUCCACCUGGCCUCGCCGCGUCAUGGUGAGAAAGAGGACUGUUCGUCAAGGUGGAGCUCUCCACAAUCUCCCCAUUCUCCCCCCACUGCCAUCUGUCCUGUCUGCACUGGAGAAAAGAUACGGGCCCCUGCCAACGCGCUCAGGCCACAUCUCAGAGAACCCAAUAACAAGUGCCAUAAAUGUUACAAGCAUCAUUGGACGAUGUUCGUUUAAAGAACCCUCUCACGCAGAUAUCAUACAGAACAUCAGCUCUGUCGGCAGGGCUUCUCUAAAAGAACAAAACCUGGAGCACUGGAGGGUUAGCAGAGAGCAGGAAGAAUACAGGAGGUCACGGAGCAAAGAAAAGCAAGCAGAAGAAAACAGAGAAACACAGGAGAAAGUGGAGAUCAAAGAAAAGGAAGAGAAAACAAAAGAAAGCGGUGAAACAAAAAAGGAGGAGAAAUCGAUUAAAGAGAAAAAGAAGAUUAUUGUUGAUGUGGGACUUGUGAAAACGAGUCCUGGAGGAAAUCUGGAAAGGAAAGUUAAAGAUGAAGUCAUCGAAGGUGGUUGCAUUGAUAGAGAAAAGAAGGAAGUAGAAGAAGUAGAAGUAAUUGAUGUGAGGAUUAAUGUCGCAAUGCAGGAACAUCAUGGGUAUGGUUUGCAGGAGGUGGCUGUUGAACUACACAGAGCUGAAGAUGAGGAGGAGGAAGAUGAAGUAGCAGAUGAGAGGGGGGUUGAGGGGUGGGAUUCUGUCCUUGAGAUGGUAAACACCUUGUGGGACGAUGAUGACUGGGAGAAAGGCGGGGCCGAAGGGGGAGGAGAUACGGAUUUCCUCUCAGGCUCCCUGCAGCGUUGGCCUCUCCUGAGACCACCGGUGGGCUUUGGGGGCUCCCACCCCCCAUCCUCAGCAGCCUCAGAGCUCAGCCUGACAGAGUUAGAAAAGAGAGCGAAGGAGCUGGACACUGACCUCGAGCACCUCGACCUAUCUCAGCCUCUUAGGGACUCCCAAGAUGUUUAUCCAACACUUUUAGAGCCACCAAGGGAACGAGCGGACAUGUACCAGACCCACCCUGGACCGCAGAGAGACAAAGCCGCCCAUCUGUCAGGCCUAGGCAGUCGGUCCCAGGUCAGUUUGGAGCUCAAUGCUUUGGCCUCAUCUACCACAGAUGCUGAUAAAUCCUCUGCUGAGACGUCCACACUAGGUACUAGCUCAACUAAAGAGGACAGCUCUCCUGACUCCAACCUGACACUCGAGUCCGACUCCAGCGGCGUCUUUCUGUCCUUGUCCAACCAAAGCCAAGAGGAGACGGGCUCUGACAGCGACCAGCCAAUCAGUGGUUCCGACCUGGGCAGCAGCAACACGUCGUUGGAGAAGGACGGAGAUGAUGAUGGUUUGAAGGAAUGGGGGAGGGAGGAGAGCGCAGAGCUGCAGUGGUGCUACCCAAGUCUUCUCAACACAUCCCAACAAGACGUGGAAGGAGUUGGCGAGAGAAACGAUGAACACCUGGAGGGAGAUGAGAACAUAAGUAGAGAUGAUAAAAUUGGAAAAGUCUCCAUUAUCAAGACCCAAAAAGAACAUUCCGUUAUCAGGAGCUCUGUGACCCAAAAAGCUGUGAAAAGUGUGGAAACGGCGCCGAGGAAAAAAGUAACCCUGAUGGGAUUAGACUCGCCCCUACUCUCCAAAAAACACCUUUUAGAUCCCUAUCAGAAACCAAUCCGAACAUCAGGUCUGGACUGUGGAGACAUAGACCCGUUUGUCCAAUCAGAUAGCUUUGUUUACCUCGCAGUAUCUGCAAGAUCGCCCUCCAAGGGCCAUGCCCCGCCCACUGCAGGUCAAAUGUCCCCCCAUGGUACCAAACUGGACACGAUGCUAACAGGACAGGAACGUACAGAACAUGUGGAACAGCCCAAUGUAGAACCAGACACCAAAGUGGCUCACCUGGUCCCACAGAAACCAGAAGAAGGAGACUUCCUGUGCACGGACAGCUUCGUCUACCUGGCUGCACCAGCCUGCCUCCUGCUGGACCCCACAGGGAAAACAUCCUACAGCGGAAAAGAAUCAGACUCAGAGAGUUCAGGCUCUGGACCCGUGGACGUGUCCGUCCUCGGCUGUGGCUCAGUGGUGGAGGACAGUGACUGGGAUUCCGAUCUAUCUGACUCUGAUCCCACUCGAUCCUCCAGAUGUGCCGGCGUGGGCCGACAGAGGCGCCUGCCCACCGACCCUGACUGGGACACGUCGGAGGACACUCCAGGACCUGGAGAGCAGAGCGAUCCAUUCACCGAUGAAGGCACGAGCCACGACGCAGAGACGGUUACCAUGGAAACUACCAUGGAAACCCAAGCAUCCACUUCAGCAGAGAAGCCAGCAAUAGGAGAGCAGCACUCGACCAAGAAGGUGACGUGGCAGUUUAAACCGGCUCAGAGGUCGGUUUGCACAGGAAGCAGAAAAGAAAAGGAAGUCCCGCCUUCAUCUCAAAGCUUCACCGAGGUGGGUGCGAGGAAGACCUGUAGGCGUUCCUCCUCAUCUUCAUCGCAGUCGUCACCUUCAUCAUCGUCAUCUGGUUAAACCGGCAGAGAAGAUCAUUUUUUGGGGGAAGAUUUUCAGGAGUUUUAAAAAGAUUGAAACUCUUUUAAAGUUUGUGUAAAAAAAAACCUGAAGCUUGAACAUUUCUUCCAUUUUCGCUGCUGCCAUCGCCUCCUCUGACUGUGAACAUCAACUUUCUGUAGAUUACACCUCACAAUACUAUACACAACACCAGGGUUGGAGUCAAUUACAUUUUUCACUUUUUUAAUUAUAACUCAAUUACCUUAACAGUGACCUGCAUUUUUUUCCAAUUACAAUUACAAUUAAAAUUGCAAUUAUUAUUUUCCCCCUGAAUGUCAAUAACAAUUACAAAUACUGAGCAUUUAAUAAAUAAGCCCAGAAACAUAACUUUCCUCUUGUG
Gouania willdenowi (blunt-snouted clingfish) is the source of this 5847-nucleotide long non-coding RNA. Ensembl lists it as uncharacterized. Lineage: Eukaryota; Metazoa; Chordata; Actinopteri; Blenniiformes; Gobiesocidae. The record is from Ensembl.